AUCGCUUCUCGGGACUUUGGCUAAGAUCAAGUGUAUUAUCUUGUUGCUUAUCAGUUUAAUAUCUGAUACGUCCCCCAUCGGGGGACUACAUAUUAAAUGGAUUUUUCGAACAGGGGAGUCGGAAAUGGGGCUUGCUCCGUCCGUCUCCACGCAUCGACCCGGUAUGCAGUACCUCCGGAACGGUGCAACACUU
RNAcentral lists this small nuclear RNA (193 nucleotides) under Oncorhynchus mykiss (rainbow trout). RNAcentral describes it as "U2 spliceosomal RNA (ENSOMYG00000050642.1)". It matches the Rfam family "U2 spliceosomal RNA". From Rfam's summary of the family: U2 is a small nuclear RNA (snRNA) component of the spliceosome (involved in pre-mRNA splicing). Complementary binding between U2 snRNA (in an area lying towards the 5' end but 3' to hairpin I) and the branchpoint sequence (BPS) of the intron results the bulging out of an unpaired adenosine, on the BPS, which initiates a nucleophilic attack at the intronic 5' splice site, thus starting the first of two transesterification reactions that mediate splicing. The record is from RNAcentral. Lineage: Eukaryota; Metazoa; Chordata; Actinopteri; Salmoniformes; Salmonidae.